RNAcentral lists this ribosomal RNA (253 nucleotides) under uncultured bacterium. RNAcentral's name for it is "partial 16S ribosomal RNA". It matches the Rfam family "Bacterial small subunit ribosomal RNA", at positions 524 to 776 of the family's 1533-position model. The record is from RNAcentral.
UACGUAGGGUGCGAGCGUUAAUCGGAAUUACUGGGCGUAAAGCGUGCGCAGGCGGUUUUGUAAGCCAGAUGUGAAAGCCCCGGGCUUAACCUGGGAAUGGCAUUUGGGACUGCAAGGCUGGAGUGUGGCAGAGGAGACUGGAAUUCCUGGUGUAGCAGUGAAAUGCGUAGAUAUCGGGAGGAACACCAGUGGCGAAGGCGAGUCCCUGGACAACUCCUGACACUGAGGCACGAAAGCUAGGGGAGCAAACAGG